This 497-nucleotide ribosomal RNA is filed under the name uncultured bacterium. Its description in RNAcentral is "partial 16S ribosomal RNA". It matches the Rfam family "Bacterial small subunit ribosomal RNA", at positions 28 to 507 of the family's 1533-position model. The record is from RNAcentral.
GAUGAACGCUGGCGGCGUGCCUAAUACAUGCAAGUCGAGCGAACAGAUGAGGAGCUUGCUCCUCUGACGUUAGCGGCGGACGGGUGAGUAACACGUGGAUAACCUACCUAUAAGACUGGGAUAACUUCGGGAAACCGGAGCUAAUACCGGAUAAUAUAUUGAACCGCAUGGUUCAAUAGUGAAAGACGGUUUUGCUGUCACUUAUAGAUGGAUCCGCGCCGCAUUAGCUAGUUGGUAAGGUAACGGCUUACCAAGGCAACGAUGCGUAGCCGACCUGAGAGGGUGAUCGGCCACACUGGAACUGAGACACGGUCCAGACUCCUACGGGAGGCAGCAGUAGGGAAUCUUCCGCAAUGGGCGAAAGCCUGACGGAGCAACGCCGCGAGAGUGAUGAAGGUCUUCGGAUCGUAAAACUCUGUUAUUAGGGAAAAACAAAUGUGUAAGUAACUAUGCACGUCUUGACGGUACCUAAUCAGAAAGCCACGGCUAACUACGUG